RNAcentral lists this long non-coding RNA (1431 nucleotides) under Anas platyrhynchos platyrhynchos (common mallard). RNAcentral describes it as "lncRNA (ENSAPLG00000018913.1)". Lineage: Eukaryota; Metazoa; Chordata; Aves; Anseriformes; Anatidae. The record is from RNAcentral.
AGAACCUGUUCGGUGGCUGUGAUUAAAUGAUCUAUGGAGAGGCUGUGGAUAAUUCUGUGGCAUGUCUUUGCUUCAUGACAAGAAAUCUGUCAUUUGCCAUAUGCUCACAUUUUGUAGCAAUAACAUUUUUUCCCAAGAGUCUCAGAUCUCAGGAACUGUAUCAGAAAUACUUUAAAGACUUUUUCUAUUUGUGUUUUUUUUUUUUUUUUUUUUUUAUUUUUAAGAAUUAGUAUCAGUAACUAAAAUUUCUGCAGAAACAACACUAAAACCUAGUGGCAGUGAUUGUUACUCUUUUGUUGACCACUGCAAAAAUUUCAGUGGCUGACAAUUAUUUAUUUAUUUAUUUAUUUUGCUCAGAAAUUCUGCACAAAGGACUUGAUCCCAAUCAAUGAAGUAAGUUAUGAAGAUGAAUGCCUUUCUGCAAAGACAACUCAGACUUAGCUCUGCUGGUUACAAAGAAGUCUUUGUUCCUAGUCUAUGCUUGGGCUGUGCCUUGGAUAUUAGUUGGAAACCUGAUAGCCUGACAUUGCUCGAAGUCUGUGAGUACAAUGUGAGUCGUCUGCAACUGGGAUUAAAACAGGCCUUUUGUACCAAGAUGCUGAGAGGCCACGUGAUCUUGGAAAAGCAAUGGUUUUGGAUGGCAGGAGAUGUUUAACCCUUUGUGCUUGUGGCAGGGAGCCAGGCGUGUUGCUGCGGGAAGCAGAACCCGAGUGUUUGUAGGGGAGGAGGUGGCCCAGGGGUAGCCAGGGCUGCUGCGUGUAUGGGUUGUUAGAAUACUUGAGUAGUUCCUGUCAAAUAAGCAAAUAAUGCCUUGUACAGAGAGCAUGCGGGCAUAUCCCCCAGCUCCUGUCCCUGCCUCGCUGCCCAGCUUGUGCUUGCUCCCUUUGGAACAGGUCACAGAAACAGAAUUGCAGGGGUUGGAAGGGACCUCCAGAGAUCAUUGGGUCCAACCCCCCGUCAGAGCAGGUUGCCCAGGUAGGCGUCCAGAUGGGCCUUGAAUAUCUCCAGAGAAGGAGACUCCACAACCUCCCUGGGCUGCCUGUCCCAGUGCUCCGUCACCCUCACCGUGAAGAAGUUCUUGCACAUGUUGGUGCGGAACUGCCUGGGCUCCAUUUUGUGGCCGUUGCCCCUUGUCCUGUCCCCACAGACCACUGAAAAGAGGUUGGCCGUAUCUCUUUCUCCCACAAUUAAGAUAUUUAUAAACAUUGAUAAGAUCCCCUCUGUCUUCUUUUCUCAAAGCUGAACAGACCCAGGUGUCUCAGCCUUUCCCAGGUCCCCAUGAUAUGCUGUAGGUGUGCUUUUAAAACUGGACAAGUCAGGGCUAUGAACCAAUGUUCACCAAUGGCUCAGAAAGAUGAGCUGUUCUGUAAAAAUUCCUGAAGUAACGUUAUAAAUAAUAAAUACAGAAUUAUUUUUAUUUGCCUAGUGAUU